Molecule: long non-coding RNA, 114 nt
Organism: Etheostoma spectabile (orangethroat darter)
Lineage: Eukaryota; Metazoa; Chordata; Actinopteri; Perciformes; Percidae
Exons: 3
Source: RefSeq, a predicted model, not a curated record
CAACAGUCUCAAUGAGGUGUAUUUCACAUUGUAGCUGCCAGAGCUCCGCUGCUUUCUUCGACCCCCUCUGUCUCUGGUCCUGCUGUGCUCACUCAGUGUGCAGUGUGAGGAGGG